CCUACGGGUGGCAGCAGUGGGGAAUAUUGCACAAUGGGCGCAAGCCUGAUGCAGCCAUGUCGCGUGUGUGAAGAAGGCCUUCGGGUUGUAAAGCACUUUCAGCGGGGAGGAAGGCGGUGAGGUUAAUAACCUCAUCGAUUGACGUUACCCGCAGAAGAAGCACCGGCUAACUCCGUGCCAGCAGCCGCGGUAAUACGGAGGGUGCAAGCGUUAAUCGGAAUUACUGGGCGUAAAGCGCACGCAGGCGGUCUGUCAAGUCGGAUGUGAAAUCCCCGGGCUCAACCUGGGAACUGCAUUCGAAACUGGCAGGCUAGAGUCUUGUAGAGGGGGGUAGAAUUCCAGGUGUAGCGGUGAAAUGCGUAGAGAUCUGGAGGAAUACCGGUGGCGAAGGCGGCCCCCUGGACAAAGACUGACGCUCAGGUGCGAAAGCGUGGGGAGCAAACAGGAUUAGAUACCCCGGUAGUC
Molecule: ribosomal RNA, 465 nt
Filed under: uncultured Klebsiella sp.
Lineage: Bacteria; Pseudomonadati; Pseudomonadota; Gammaproteobacteria; Enterobacterales; Enterobacteriaceae
Description: bacterial SSU rRNA
Rfam family: Bacterial small subunit ribosomal RNA
Source: RNAcentral